GUCCUUUUGAAUUUAAUAUAAGGUCUGACCUGCCCACUGAUAAUUUUAACGGCCGCGGUAUACUGACCGUGCAAAGGUAGCAUAAUCAUUAGUCUUUUAAUAGAGGGCUGGAAUGAAAGGUUUGACGAGGAACUGACUGUCUCAUUUUAUUUGUUUUAAAAUUUAAUUUUUUAGUUAAAAAGCUAAAAUUCUAUUGGUAGACGAGAAGACCCUAUAGAGCUUUACAUGGAAUUACUUUGAUGGUUUUAUAUUAAUAUUUCUAAUUAAAUUCGUGUUUUGUUGGGGUGACAAAAAUAUACAAUUAACUAUUUUAUUUAAAUAACAUUGAUUUAUGAUUAUUAGAUCCAUUAUUAUUGAUUAUUAGAUUAAGUUACCUUAGGGAUAACAGCGUAAUCCUCCUCCAGAGUUCAUAUUUACAGGAUGGGCUUGCGACCUCGAUGUUGAAUUAAGAUAAUAGUUAGGUGUAGCCGCUUAAUUAAUAGGUCUGUUCGACCUUUAAAUUCUU
Molecule: ribosomal RNA, 505 nt
Filed under: Orthetrum poecilops
Lineage: Eukaryota; Metazoa; Arthropoda; Insecta; Odonata; Libellulidae
Description: partial 16S rRNA
Rfam family: Bacterial large subunit ribosomal RNA
Source: RNAcentral